This 72-nucleotide transfer RNA is filed under the name Camelus bactrianus (Bactrian camel). It matches the Rfam family "tRNA". Rfam says of the family: Transfer RNA (tRNA) molecules are approximately 80 nucleotides in length. Lineage: Eukaryota; Metazoa; Chordata; Mammalia; Artiodactyla; Camelidae. RNAcentral also lists the same sequence under 2 other names. The record is from Rfam by way of RNAcentral.
GAAGGUAUAGCUCAGUGGUAGAGUGCAUGCUUGGCAUGCACAAGGUCAUGGGUUCAAUCCCCAGAACCUCCA